CAAUGUCACUACUGUGUGCUUGCUGAGCACAAUCUGCUCUCUACAACCACGUUAAGAGAUGAUUCUCUAUCUGGAACAAUGGCAGCUGCUGGCACAGGAGAUGGAGGGGGGUUAUCGGGUGCCCUGCACAGCCCUGAUAGCACCGAGUGCUACAGAGUGGCUGCAGCUGCCAUGCUGGAUCCUUGCUGAUAAGAAAGGGAUCAGCUGUUUGAGCUCAGCUGCCUCUGAGCCCAGAGCUGGGUCCUGGUUCUGGUUGCCACACCUCAGGUGUUGCCUAGCUUCCACGCUCCCUCCCACUCUGAAACUGGCUGCUGGCUGGUUUCCCUGCCUUUCCUCCUAUCAGGCAUGGAUCCUGAGCCUCCAGCCCAGACCAUCCUGCCCCUGGUGAUUGCAUUCUGCUGCAGAUCUGGCGGCCUUCCCUCUGUGGCAACCACUGCAUCGCCCAGCAGUGCACCUCCCAGCCUCCAUGCCUCUGCAGCCCGCAACAUCUUCGGCUCCCGACCCCCGAGGCCUCGAGAGAACGUCCUCUGCACCAGCUUCAAGCCCUACAGCCCGGAGUCCAGCCCAGCCCUGGCCCCCUGCACAGCCUGUGAGAGCACACGAUCCUCCAUGUUCAGAGCUCCCUGCAUGAGCCAGCGACGGCUUGUGCUCAUCUUCUGCGUCUCCAUCCUCAUCGCGCUGCUCAUCGCCCUCAU
RNAcentral lists this long non-coding RNA (695 nucleotides) under Amazona collaria (yellow-billed parrot). Its description in RNAcentral is "lncRNA (ENSACOG00000003797.1)". Lineage: Eukaryota; Metazoa; Chordata; Aves; Psittaciformes; Psittacidae. The record is from RNAcentral.